This is a transfer RNA of Rhodotorula sp. JG-1b, 72 nucleotides long. It matches the Rfam family "tRNA". From Rfam's summary of the family: Transfer RNA (tRNA) molecules are approximately 80 nucleotides in length. Lineage: Eukaryota; Fungi; Basidiomycota; Microbotryomycetes; Sporidiobolales; Sporidiobolaceae. The record is from Rfam.
GCUGUCGUGGUAUAACGGCUAUUAUCUUUGCCUUCCAAGCAAAGGAAACGGGUUCGACUCCCGUCGACAGCA